RNAcentral lists this ribosomal RNA (2954 nucleotides) under Actinomycetota bacterium. Its description in RNAcentral is "Actinobacteria bacterium (sediment metagenome) 23S ribosomal RNA". It matches the Rfam family "Bacterial large subunit ribosomal RNA". Lineage: Bacteria; Bacillati; Actinomycetota. The record is from RNAcentral.
GGAGAAGCUACUAAGGGCGUACGGUGGAUGCCUUGGUGCCAAGAGCCGAAGAAGGACGUAGCCAGUCUGCGAAAAGCCACGGGGAGCUGUCAAGCAAGCGUUGAUCCGUGGGUGUCCGAAUGGGGCAACCUGGGGCGGAGAACCCGCCUCGAUCCGAGAGGGUCGGCAACCGGGGGAACUGAAACAUCUCAGUACCCCGAGGAAGAGAAAUCGAUGAGAUUCCCUGAGUAGUGGCGAGCGAAAGGGGAGGAGCCUAAACUGGGCAGGCUGAGUGGUACUCAGGCCUAUGCCUGCCUGGGGUUGUAAGCCGGCGUUGGGGCGAGCUGAGAGGAGCCCGGGAAGUCAGAAAACUUGUCUAUAGGCGAAGGACCCUGGGAAGGGCCGACGGAGAGGGUGAAAUCCCCGUAGUCGAAAUGGGCAAGUCUUCCUGGACGCAGGCUUGAGUACCGCGGGACACGAGGAAUCUCGCGGGAAGCUGGGACGACCACGUUCCAAGGCUAAAUACUCUUGGCGACCGAUAGUGAACUAGUACCGUGAGGGAAAGGUGAAAAGCACCCCGGUGAGGGGGAUGAAAUAGAACCUGAAACCGUAUGCCUACAAGCAGUCAGAGGGCGAGAGCCUGAUGGCGUGCCUAUUGAAGAAUGAACCGGCGAGUUAAUCCUCGUGGCGCGAAGAGGUUAAGGGUCUUGAGACCUGGAGCCGGAGCGAAAGCGAGUCUGAAUAGGGCGAUUAGUCGCGGGGAUUAGACCCGAAACCGAGUGAGCUACCCAUGGCCAGGGUGAAGUCUCGUUAACCCGGGAUGGAGGCCCGAACCUUCCAGUGUUGCAAAACUGUUGGAUGAGCUGUGGGUAGAGGUGAAAUGCCAAGCGAACUCGGAGAUAGCUGGUUCUCCCCGAAAUGCAUUUAGGUGCAGCCUCAGGGAACUAUACCGCGCAGGUAGAGCUCUGAAUGAGCUAGGGGGCGAGACGCUUACCAAACUCAACCAAACUCCAAAUGGCGCGGCAACUAUCCUGAGAGUGAGACGGCGGGGGCUAAGCUUCGUCGUCGAGAGGGAAACAGCCCAGACCAUCGGUUAAGGCCCCUAAGUACAGGCUAAGUGUAAAAGGCGGUGGGGUUACAGAGACAACCAGUAGGUUGGCUUAGAAGCAGCCAUCCUUGAAAGAGUGCGUAAUAGCUCACUGGUCGAGUGAUCCUGCACCGACAAUUCAUCGGGGCUUAAGCCUGUCGCCGAAGCCGUGGCUUGCGUGCUUGCACGCAGGGGUAGGGGAGCGUUCCGUGGUGAUGAAGGUUGGCCGUGAGGUUAGCUGGAGCCAUCGGAAGUGCGAAUGCCGGUAUGAGUAGCGACUAGACACGUGAGAAGCGUGUCCGCCGAAAACCCAAGGUUUCCGACGCAAGGUAAAUCCGCGUCGGGUUAGUCGGGCCUAAGCCGAGGGCGUAAUAGCCGUAGGCGAUGGACAGCGGGUUGAUAUUCCCGCACCGAUUGCGAGUUGUUGACCCAGGUGGUGACGCGUGGGGGUAGGUCCGGCGUGGCGAUGGAGAUGCCGCGUCCAAGCUGGUAGGUGGCGGAAGCUACCGAGAGGCGAGUGAAAGCUUGCGGGGUGACCCAAGGGCGAUUGGAUUGAACUCGUGGCGCCAAGAAAAGCCAUCUGGCGAGGCUCGUGAUUGACCGUACCGCAGACCGACUCAGGUGGGCUGGGGUAAGAACCUCAAGGCGGACGGGAGAACCCUCGUUAAGGAACUCGGCAAAAUAGCCCCGUAACUUCGGGAGAAGGGGCGCCGUGCUUGGUGAUAGUCCUAGCGGCUGGAGCUGAGCGUGGCUGCAAUAAGCAGGCCCAGGCGACUGUUUAACAAAAACACAGGUCCGUGCAGAAAGCGCAAGCUGACGUAUACGGGCUGACACCUGCCCAGUGCCGGAAGGUUAAGGGGUGGCGUGAUGAGCGCUAAACCGAAGCCCCGGUGAACGGCGGCCGUAACUCUAACGGUCCUAAGGUAGCGAAAUUCCUUGUCGGGUAAGUUCCGACCCGCACGAAUGGCGUAACGAUCUGGGCGCUGUCUCGACGAGGGACCCGGCGAAAUUGAAGUACGCGUGAAGAUGCGCGUUACCCGCGAUAGGACAAAAAGACCCCGUGGAGCUUUACUACAGUUUGGCAUUGGGCCGGGGCCGAUGAUGCGUAGGAUAGGUGGGAGCCAGGGAGGCGCUGCUUUCGGGUGGCGCGGAGGCGACGGUGAAAUACCACUCUUCAUUGGUCUUGGUUCUAACAGGCAUCCAAAGUCUGGACAGUGCCAGGUGGGUAGUUUGACUGGGGCGGUCGCCUCCUAAAAGGUAACGGAGGCGCCCAAAGGUCCCCUCAGGGUGGAUGGAAAUCACCCGUGGAGGGCAUUGGCAGAAGGGGGCUUGACUGCAAGACAGACAGGUCGAGCAGGGACGAAAGUCGGGCAAAGUGAUCCUACGGCUCCGAGUGGAAGGGCCGUGGCUUAACGGAUAAAAGUUACCCCGGGGAUAACAGGCUUAUCUUCCCCGCGAGUUCACAUCGACGGGAAGGUUUGGCACCUCGAUGUCGGCUCGUCGCAUCCUGGGGCUGCAGUAAGUCCCAAGGGUUGGGCUGUUCGCCCAUUAAAGCGGUACGCGAGCUGGGUUCAGAACGUCGUGAGACAGUUCGGUCUCUAUCCGUCGUGGGCGCAGGAGGUUUGAGGGGACCCACCCCUAGUACGAGAGGACCGGAGUGGACGGACCUACGGUCUGCCGGUUGGGCUGCCAAGCCCACCGCCGGGUAGCCGACGUCCGGCCGAGAUAAGCGCUGAAAGCAUCUAAGCGCGAAACUCCCCCCGAGAUUAGACCUCCCUCUGGGCAACCAGGUAAGGCCGCAGGUAGAUAACCUGCUCGAUAGACGGGAUGCGCAAGCCUGGCAACAGGCUCAACUUACCCGCACUAAUGGCCGAGGGCUUCUCCCGAC